CCUACGGGAGGCAGCAGUAGGGAAUCUUUCACAAUGGGCGAAAGCCUGAUGGAGCAACGCCGCGUGCAGGAUGAAGGCCUUCGGGUUGUAAACUGCUUUUAUAAGCGAGAAAUAUGAUGGUAACUUAUGAAUAAGGAUCGGCUAACUACGUGCCAGCAGCCGCGGUCAUACGUAGGAUCCGAGCAUUAUCCGGAGUGACUGGGUGUAAAGAGUUGCGUAGGUGGCAUAAUAAGUAGCUAGUGAAAUCUGGUGGCUCAACCAUUCAGACUAUUAGCUAAACUGUUAAGCUCGAGACCGUUAGGGGUAACUGGAAUUUCUAGUGUAGGAGUGAAAUCCGUAGAUAUUAGAAGGAAAACCAAUAGCGUAGGCAGGUUGCUGGGACGGUUCUGACACUAAGGCACGAAAGCGUAGGGAGCAAACGGGAUCAGAUACCCCUGUAGUC
Molecule: ribosomal RNA, 442 nt
Filed under: uncultured bacterium
Lineage: Bacteria
Description: partial 16S ribosomal RNA
Rfam family: Bacterial small subunit ribosomal RNA
Source: RNAcentral